RNAcentral lists this transfer-messenger RNA (376 nucleotides) under Candidatus Ectomicrobium neotermitis. It matches the Rfam family "transfer-messenger RNA". Rfam says of the family: Bacterial tmRNA, also known as 10Sa RNA or SsrA, is named for its dual tRNA and mRNA-like properties. Its role is to liberate the mRNA from a stalled ribosome. To accomplish this part of the tmRNA is used as a reading frame that ends in a translation stop signal. The record is from RNAcentral. Lineage: Bacteria; Pseudomonadati; Elusimicrobiota; Endomicrobiia; Endomicrobiales; Endomicrobiaceae.
GGGGGCGAACAGGGUUCGACGGGAAUGUAAGGAAGUGAUGGCAGCAGGUAGGAGUUGGUCGAAGGCUCCUUAAAAAUCGACUAAAAAAUAAACAACAUUAAAAAUGUUGCGCAUAGACCCAAUUUUGGGUUUAUGCCUUUAGCCGCUUAAACGGCUCGUUUUACCUGAGACUCCUGCUAUUAGGAUAAAACGUCAAAAGCAGGGUAGUUUUAAGCGGCUUGUUCCGUCAGCUUAAAAUGAAAUCAAAACGGAGCUGGUUUAGGCUGUAAUCCCGUCCGGAGACGGCAGCUUAAACGAGACCAAAUUCCGGGCUAAACCUGUAGCGGCCGCAUUGCCGCAUUUUCGGACGCGGGUUCAAUUCCCGCCGCCUCCACCA